GCGCCAGUAGCUCAGUUGGAUAGAGCAACGGCCUUCUAAGCCGUGGGUCGGGGGUUCGAAUCCCUCCUGGCGUGCCA
This 77-nucleotide transfer RNA is filed under the name Desulfobulbus sp. RNAcentral describes it as "tRNA-Arg". It matches the Rfam family "tRNA". Rfam says of the family: Transfer RNA (tRNA) molecules are approximately 80 nucleotides in length. Their secondary structure includes four short double-helical elements and three loops (D, anti-codon, and T loops). The record is from RNAcentral. Lineage: Bacteria; Pseudomonadati; Thermodesulfobacteriota; Desulfobulbia; Desulfobulbales; Desulfobulbaceae. RNAcentral also lists the same sequence under 1 other name.